GACGAACGCUGGCGGCGUGCUUGACACAUGCAAGUCGAACGGAAAGGCCCUGCUUUUGUGGGGUGCUCGAGUGGCGAACGGGUGAUUAACACGUGAGUAACCUGCCCUUGACUUUGGGAUAACUUCAGGAAACUGGGGCUAAUACCGGAUAGGAGCUCCUGCUGCAUGGUGGGGGUUGGAAAGUUUCGGCGGUUGGGGAUGGACUCGCGGCUUAUCAGCUUGUUGGUGGGGUAGUGGCUUACCAAGGCUUUGACGGGUAGCCGGCCUGAGAGGGUGACCGGCCACAUUGGGACUGAGAUACGGCCCAGACUCCUACGGGAGGCAGCAGUGGGGAAUAUUGCACAAUGGGCGGAAGCCUGAUGCAGCAACGCCGCGUGCGGGAUGACGGCCUUCGGGUUGUAAACCGCUUUCGCCUGUGACGAAGCGUGAGUGACGGUAAUGGGUAAAGAAGCACCGGCUAACUACGUG
This 468-nucleotide ribosomal RNA is filed under the name uncultured bacterium. RNAcentral's name for it is "partial 16S ribosomal RNA". It matches the Rfam family "Bacterial small subunit ribosomal RNA", at positions 28 to 507 of the family's 1533-position model. The record is from RNAcentral.